AAGUGGCAAAGGGCUUGAUGGUUGGUACCUGUCACGCCCCGCGACCGCCCGCCUAUUUGGCCGGAUUGCGGCGCCGCCGACAGAUCGCCGAACGGACAGGGUUUCCCCUGUACUGCGGACAGAGUCUCCCCUGUACGUUCAAGGCAUAGCAAUCAAUACAAUGUGCGAAGUUCCAACCAGGAACACAUUUCAAUCAAGAUUGCAUAAUGGAAGGUAUCAAACAACAUAACACAUCCUAUGUUAUUACAUGCAUUCACAUUCAUCCAUUUUUACAUCACAAAUCUCAUUAGAUUCCAACAUUAGCUUUCACUUAACUUCCAAAUACAAUCCAAUUUAACAAUAUUAUUACAACUUGAUUCUUUUCAUUCUUUACAUCCCUAAGUAAGGCCGACUCAGGGUACCGCUAUCUCUGGUCUCGGUGGUAGGGCGCUAACUAUGGAGCUACGCCCUCGCCUCGCGCCGCCGCGCCGCUCACGUGCGAACCUGUAACACCCCAAAACCACGUGGGGUGAGAACCAACUCCAUGGUUCCCAGUGGGUACGGCCACCCAAGGGAAAAGCUCGACCAAUAGGUCCAAGGGAGGCAACUGCAAGUUAGUUCAAUAAACAGAUAGAUAUAUAUCUUUAUUAUGCAACUAAUAAAACCAUGCUUUGCCUCACGAAUGCAAUAAUGCCAUGCUAUAUGCGAAUCAUGCAACUAUACAAGUAGAAUAAAUGAUUUUACUUUGUAUCAUGCUAUCCAUAGCUUUUUCAUAAUUUAUACAUCUUAUCACUUUACAUCAUUGGUUAUUUGCUCCUAAGGUUUUCCUCUACCCUAGCCAAGCUAACCACCCGACUCGGUCUCGAGUCAAUCAACUGCGGAAUACCGCACCAAAACUAGGCUCGAGGUGAUGGACGUCUCACAUACACCUCAGCCCUAAAUCCUCUCAACUGGGAUACCAAACCCGUAACACAUAAUGCUAUACAUUCACUUGGCUUUGACCCAAUCUUACCGGUUAACCAUGUUAACCCCAAUGACUCACAACCCAAAAUCCCUUAAUAACGGGGGACUCGAACCUCCCUAGGGACCGUCUUCUGGGGGGACUUUACCACGCCCAGUGGUGACCAACUCCGGAGCGCACCGCCCGAGGGGGAGCUACCUCCCUCAAGCCAAGACUUAUCGUGAGUGUCGAUCCAAUCCUCAACUUGAGGAUACAUAGCCACUAGUCACAAUGCCAAUGUCACAAUAGGUUUCUACCUAUUUAAUCAUGCCACUCUAUGUCAACUUGGUCCAAUGCCACUCUUGGUUAAACUAUAUUUAACACCUAUGUUCUUGAUGCCAAUAAUGUCUCUAUUGUCAAUGUC
Molecule: long non-coding RNA, 1343 nt
Filed under: Ananas comosus (pineapple)
Lineage: Eukaryota; Viridiplantae; Streptophyta; Magnoliopsida; Poales; Bromeliaceae
Description: long non-coding RNA (ACOM_LNC024166)
Source: RNAcentral